ACAAUGAAAAGAUGCCCCACACUUGUCCCAAUUCCAUUGUCAUUGUUCUAUCUUUUUCUUCAUCAUACAUAAUUCUGCCUCAGUCAAUCACUAUUCACUAAUAAUAUCUCAGUGAGUGAGUGAACGGGAUGGAUCAGCCUGCUUCUUCAUCUAGCAGCUCUGCAACUGAUCGCUUUUCUCGUGUCCUUGAGGAGGUGGAGCUGCGAUUCAGGAAGGUUGAGAAUUAAUUUGAGGACUGAAAAUUUGCUGCUUCCUUUUAUAGGGAGCCACCAGACCAGGACAUGAUCAACACUUUCAGAGAUCAAAUCCAGGCCUUCCAAGUGGAAUUUAGGUUGGUGACGGUGUUUCACAAUAUGGUGGACAAGUUGAGAUCUGGUGUUUAGGGAAGCUAAUGUCCCCCAAUGUUUGAAAUUGAAGCUUCCCUGUUCUUUAAAGUUGAAGCUGCAAUCAACGAGACUGUAGAGGAACUUAAUGAGUGCUCGCAAGAUUAAUAAGGUUUCCAAACUGGUCCUUGUGUUUACCAACUUGUUGAAAAAGAUGGAGCUUAGAAUCCAUUUAUUGAGGAGGUUCUGUGAGUCUGUGACUAUUUGCAGAAGAAACACUUCCUGGAGGUUGAGUACAAAUAUGAUUGUUGGAAUGAGUUCCAUCAGUGACUUGGGUUGCUCAAUUCUAUCAGAGAGAAUCUUCAGAUCCUAUCAGAGAAAGCUGAUUUGCCCCUUGAAGGAGAACUCAAAGUCUUCCUAGAGAAGAUAAGUGCUCUCAUUGAUUUAUUUGUCACUCUAUCAAGGGCUAGGACUGGCAAACCUAAUCUCAGCGCAGCUCUGAGGAUUCAUGUUGGAAUUGUGGCUAUACGUGUAGUGAAUCUGCCUUGGUUGUGCUGUCUAAGGAGAACAAAAAUGGAUCAAAGUGUGGCAGAAGAUAUGUGUAAUGCCUUUUCACAUCUUCAAUAUAAGGUCAGCUAUCAGCAGUGGAAGUAUUUCUUUCUGAUCUUCUCCAUGAGGGACAGGUUGCUGAAGUUAAGUGGGAGCUGUUGUGCCUGAUACAAUCUUAUAAUUGACUUAUGAGCAAAGGGCAAAAAGAUUGCUGAACAUGUCUUUCCAGAUAUUGCAGUCAUGGUUAGGCGGGUAGGGUGUCUCAAGAACUCAUUAAGUGAAGAAGGUGGACCUGAUCUUUCAUGUUUCAACUUGGUUCUGAUGAUUUAUCUUCUCAGGACAGAGCUUUUCUUCAUUGAACAACUGAGCCAUAGUCGGAUGAAAAGGAAUUUCAACAUUUUUUUUCAGGAUACAACAUAUCUCAAGAAGUCUUUGCAAGAUCAAGUUGAAGUCCUCCAUUUGCACAUGAGAUCCUUAAGUAGCAAAUUUGCAGGUCCACCAGAAGUGAACAUGCAAAAUUGGAAACAGCUAUUCAAACACUUCGAAGACGUGGCUAAGGAGCUGGAUUCAUUUAAAAAGUCCUUCAAUCCCACAAUUCUUACCAGGAACGAGGCAAGGAGUGUGUUCAGAUUGCUUCUGAGGAUUUUGGUAUUUAAGGGAGAAGUAUAUUUAAUGGAUCUCAAAAACAGUAAUGAAGUUUUGAUUCUUCCAGUGAAGGAUCAAAUUGGAACCCUCAGUUCCCUUGUAGCAUCAAUGACAAUUAUGCCUAGCCGCCUAGGAAACUCAUCUUCGGAGACUUUGAGAAGGUCACAGACAAUGAAACACCAAUCUUGAUGCAUUUUGAAUCAGUGGCCAGGCAGGUUUUAUCUUUCUGUCAUUCCUUUAAUUCUGUCAAAUUCACGGGAUGCAUGAAGAAGGAAAUGUUCGAGUUUGAUCCAGAAAAUAAAGCAAAUAGUUGAUGAGAUUGAUGUGAAGUUUCCUCGUAUCAAAUUCCCUAAGAUUAAUGGACUAGGAUUCGUUGAUAUUCUCUUGAUAAAGCUACAAGAGUUGCUGAAAAUUGACUCUGAUUCAAUUCUUUCUCAAAGAACACAUUGAGGAAAUCCUAGAGAAUCUGCGAUUCUUGAGAUCUUUCCUCGGGGAGCAGGACUUCACACAUCCAGAAUGGCAAAAUCUGGGAACAAGUCUAGUAGAUGCAGCUUAUAGGGUAAAAUUCAUCAUUGACUCAACUCUGAGCUGCAAUGGAUCUGAAAGGCAAAAUUUGUUACGGCUUUACCAUGCCUCAGAAAAUAUUAGACAUUUCAAGGAGCUGGUGGCUGACUUUCAAGGGGAGGCAUUUGAUGUGGAAGCCAAUAAGUGCUAAGCAAGCUAUGGGUCGUGAAAUCUCAUAGAUGAGUACCUUUGAAAUAAGUAAAGAUGUGGUGGUCUCCUAAAUGAUUAUCAACAAAUCAUAGUUGAUCGACUCACCCGAGGAUCAUCACAGCUGGAAAUAGUUUCAAUUGUUGGAAUGCCAAGAAUUGGUGAGACAACCCUGGCCAAUAAAGUGUAUCAUGAUCCUGAAGUUGUGCAUUACUUCCACAUUCGUGCAUGGUGUAAUGUUUCACAAGUUAUACACAAAAAGAGACUUGUUGCUUGAAGUUUUAUGGCACAUUAAAGAGCUUGCAGAUAAUAUCUUGACAAUGACCAAUGAAGAUUUGGAGUUAGUUCUCUUUAAACACUUGAAGAGAAAUCUUUAUUUAUCAUUUUGGAUGAUGUGUGGAGUAUCAGGCCAUGGAAUGACUUGAAGAUCUCAUUUCUAGAAAACAGGAAUGGAAGUAGAGUUCAAAUAACAAGUCGUCUCCAUGACAUGGCAUCAAAACUCACCCUUGAAUGUAAUCUUUGUCAUCUUCAUCCAUUCUCUGGUGUUGAAAGCUAGGAGCUACUACAGAGGAAGAUAUAUCCCAAACUAAGGAACUAUGGGAAUUUGGAAAGGAUAUUGCUAGAAAAUGCGAAGGAUUACCUCUUUCUGUUGUUGCAAUAGCCAGUCUGCUUCAAGGAACACACACGAAACCAGAGUCGUGGAAGCAAAUUGCAGAGAGUUUGAACUCAAUCAUACUAAAUGAUCCACAAACUCGGUGCAUGGACAUCUUAGAAUUGAGUUACAAUCACAUGUCAGAUUAUCUGAAAGCAUGCUUUCUUUAUUUUGGAACAUUUCAGGGGAUAAAGAGGUUGGUGUUCGAAGACCAAUAAUGUUAUGCGUGGCUGAAGGAUGAUACAGAAAAAGAAGUCAAAGAUCUUAGAGGAUCUUGCUGAAGAUAACUUGAUGGAUCAGGUUGGUAGAAACUUAAUAAUGGUUUCAAAAAGAAGAUCAAAUGGUGGUGCCAAAGCAUGUUGGAUUCAUGAUAUGAGGGGUCAUAUUUCAACAAUCGGUUGGCUAGAAAAUCUUGAGGUUCUCAAGUUACUUUCUUCAACUUUUGAGGAUACAAAAUGGGAGAUGAUGGAAGGGGAGUUCCCACAGCUCAAAUUCUUGGAAGUUAGACAGUCUGAACAUUGUUGAAUGGAAUGCCACCUGUGAUGACUUGCCUAAUCUUCGGCAUCUAGUCUUGAGAAAGUGCUAGUUUCUCAAGGAAGUUCCAAUUGAUUUCGUGAAUAUCCCAACAUUGCAGCUAAUUGAAGUGCAGGGCUCUGGAGAUUCAAUUGAAAAGGCAAUCAGACGACUCAAGGAGGAGCAACUUGAAUAUGGAAUUGAAAUUUGAAGGUCAUUGUCAAUCAUUAGAUGAAAAUUGCAGAUCUUCAUUGCCUUAUGUUGAUCUUUGCAUGCUUCAUAUCGUAUUGGCAAGUAAGUGGACUCGUCUUUGUUGAUCAUUUUACCUCAUUUUUACAAUUGAUGAUUCGUUAUCAACUUUCGUAAUUGGACACUGGCCAAUAUAAGGUCACUUGAUAAAUUUCAACUUCAAGCUGUAAACUUUCUGUUUUCUCCUUUUUGCACAAGUAGCACAAUUCUGCUGAUGUCUUAAUUGCUGUUGUCCUUGUUUCACAGUGUGUUUUUGUAGCUGAUGAACUGGUUCUUGAUCAACUCUAAAUUAUUCGAAGGAAUUGUUCUUGUUAAUUUUCCUUUCAUGGCUAUUCUCAUGGAAACAUGUCCAUAAAUUAUAGGCAGAUUAAGACAGAAAUUUCAGCAAGAGUGAUCAUGUGUAAAAAUGGAAGCAAAAGCGGCAUCCCACAUGUAAAAUGUCUAAAACCAGGAAAAUGAGACGCCACUACACUUGCCCCUUACAUAGUUUCCAUUUCAAAAGCAUCAUUUUUAUCUGGAACGAUGUGGUACAUUUGAUUUAUUGUUCUGCCACAUUACCUCUCCCUUCUUGAAGGAGCUUUACAUCAAUGGUUGUAUUCUAGUGAAGUACUAUAAUUAGAUGAGUCAACUUUGUAGCCACAAUAAUAACAAUGAUGUAAUCUUGAUUUCUAUUUAAUUCGUCUUACCAGUUUUUGCAGUUAUUAGCAUUGCUGUAUAGCUGGUCAAAUCUGGGUGCAAAAGCACCAGUACUCUUCAUGUACUCCAAGAACAUGUGUAUGUAUCCUAAGAAAUUGAUGAAACUAAUCAUAACAGUGAUUAACUAAAAA
Non-coding RNA from Coffea arabica (coffee), 4469 nucleotides. The record is from RefSeq and is a predicted model, not a curated record. NCBI's taxonomy places the organism in Eukaryota, Viridiplantae, Streptophyta, Magnoliopsida, Gentianales, Rubiaceae.